Poecile atricapillus (Black-capped chickadee) is the source of this 757-nucleotide long non-coding RNA. RefSeq lists it as uncharacterized. Lineage: Eukaryota; Metazoa; Chordata; Aves; Passeriformes; Paridae. The record is from RefSeq and is a predicted model, not a curated record. The transcript has 3 exons.
CCCGGGGCCGACGCCGGCGAAGUUUCGAUUCGGGAGGUCAGACAGGCGUCAGAAUCGCAUCUCUGUUCAGCAGCAUCCGAUCGGAUGUCUUCUUAGGUCUUGUUCUCAGCUGUGUUGACAGCUGUGUGCAGUAAUCUUUCUUUACAGUGGAUAAGGACUUGUGCCGAUUCAAAGGCAGGCAGAGGCUUCCAGCCACAGGAUUCUCAGGCAUCCGUCUCCGCGGUUCUCGGAAUAAGUCGUUCCGUUAGCAUCGUUUUCCUCCGGGGUCAUCCGAGCCCGGCGGGCUCUCCUUCGGUCCCCCCUCGGUCAUCUUGUUCAGCAUUCUCUAGGUCCUCGUGAGGACUUUCUUGUCUCAGAGAGUUUUCUCUCCCUGUCGUGUCCCCUCGUGUCACGGGUGUCUGGGGGUAUUCGGUCCGGAACUGCUCUGCCCUGUCGCCCGGCCCCGUUGCAGGUGUUCAAGGACAAGUCCCGGGCACUUGUAAUUGGAGACUCGUAAUACGGGCUGUAGUUGGAGUCUAGGUAGUAUUCUUAUGUUGGCAGAAGGUGUCUGGAGCUGUGAAGUUACCCUGCAGCACUUUGACUUUUUCCUAACUUUCUUUCAGAUGCGGAUGGAUCGACCUCCCGGCAGAGCGCCCCGUCCCAGAUGAGGGGAUCCCCCCGAGAAGGAAGUAAAGCCGGAUAGCAGCAGCGAAGGCGAAGCAUUGUGAAGGCUGCCUCCUGAUGUUGUGCUGAGGCCCCAUCACUGACCUGCCAAGAG